This 1244-nucleotide ribosomal RNA is filed under the name metagenome. RNAcentral's name for it is "bacterial LSU rRNA". It matches the Rfam family "Bacterial large subunit ribosomal RNA", at positions 1564 to 2808 of the family's 2925-position model. The record is from RNAcentral.
UGAGUACGAGAUGCUACGGCAUCGAAGCAGUCUAUGUCAUACUUCCAAGAAAAGCUCGCACUGUCAGAAACAAAUUAAUGCCUGUACCAUAACCGACACAGGUGGGUAGGUAGAGUAUACUAAGGGGCGCGAGAUAACUCUCUCUAAGGAACUCGGCAAAAUGACUCCGUAACUUCGGGAGAAGGAGUGCCUUAUUUCUAAGGUUGCAAUAACCAGAUCCAAGCAACUGUUUAUCAAAAACACAGGUCUCCGCUAAGUCGUAAGACGAUGUAUGGGGGCUGACGCCUGCCCAGUGCCAGAAGGUUAAAGAAGUUGGUUAGCCCGCGCAAGCGUAGCGAAGCUGAUAACUGAAGCCCUGGUGAACGGCGGCCGUAACAAUAACGGUCCUAAGGUAGCGAAAUUCCUUGUCGGGUAAGUUCCGGCCCGCACGAAAGGCGUAAUGAUUUGGAUGCUGUCUCGGAGAGGGACUCGGUGAAAUAGACUUGUCUGUGAAGAUGCGGACUACCUGCACCAGGACAGAAAGACCCUAUGAAGCUUUACUGUAACUUGAGAUUGAAAUUGGAUUUUAUUCGCGCAGUAUAGGUGGGAGGCAUUGAAAAUAUUCUUGCGGGAAUAUUGGAGCCAUCAGUGAGAUACCACUCUUGUAAUGUUAGAUUUCUAACUUUGUAUCAUUAUCUGGUCAAAGAACAGUUUCAGGCGGGCAGUUUGACUGGGGCGGUCGCCUCCUAAAUGGUAACGGAGGCGCACAAAGGUUUCCUCUGAACGGGUAGAAAUCGUAUCUAGAGUGUAAAGGCAUAAGGAAGCUUGACUGUGAGACCUACAAGUCGAGCAGGGACGAAAGUCGGUCUUAGUGAUCUGACGGUGCUGAGUGGAAAGGCCGUCACUCAACGGAUAAAAGUUACUCUAGGAUAACAGGCUGAUCUCCCCCAAGAGCUCACAUCGACGGGGAGGUUUGGCACCUCGAUGUCGGCUCAUCGCAUCCUGGGGCGGUAGUACGUCCCAAGGGUUGGGCUGUUCGCCCAUGAAAGCGGUACGCGAGCUGGGUUCAGAACGUCGUGAGACAGUUCGGUCCAUAUCCGGUGUAGGCGUUAGAAUAUUGAGAGGAGCCUUCUUUAGUACGAGAGGACCGAGAAGGACAUACCUCUGGUGUACCAGUUAUCGUGCCAACGGUAAACGCUGGGUAGCCAUGUAUGGAGUGGAUAACCGCUGAAAGCAUCUAAGUGGGAAGCCCACCUCAAGAUAAG